AGAGUUGAUAUGGCUCAGGAUGAACGCUAGCGACAGGCUAACACAUGCAAGUCGAGGGGCAGCAUAAAAGUAGCAAUACUUGGUGGCGACCGGCGCACGGGUGAGUAACGCGUAUGCAACCUACCUAUCGAGAGGGGAAUAACCCGGCGAAAGUCGGGCUAAUACCGCAUAAAACAGGGACACCGCAUGGUGAUAUUGUUAAAGAAAUUCGCUGAUAGAUGGGCAUGCGUUCCAUUAGGUAGUUGGUGAGGUAACGGCUCACCAAGCCGACGAUGGAUAGGGGAACUGAGAGGUUGGUCCCCCACACUGGUACUGAGACACGGACCAGACUCCUACGGGAGGCAGCAGUGAGGAAUAUUGGUCAAUGGGCGAGAGCCUGAACCAGCCAAGUCGCGUGAAGGGAAAAGAAGGAUCUAUGGUUCGUAAACUUCUUUUGCAGGGGAAUAAAGUGCAGGACGUGUCCUGUUUUGUAUGUACCCUGAGAAUAAGGAUCGGCUAACUCCGUGCCAGCAGCAGC
This 517-nucleotide ribosomal RNA is filed under the name uncultured bacterium. RNAcentral describes it as "bacterial SSU rRNA". It matches the Rfam family "Bacterial small subunit ribosomal RNA", at positions 8 to 518 of the family's 1533-position model. The record is from RNAcentral.